This 330-nucleotide ribosomal RNA is filed under the name Triticum aestivum (bread wheat). Its description in RNAcentral is "partial small subunit ribosomal RNA". Lineage: Eukaryota; Viridiplantae; Streptophyta; Magnoliopsida; Poales; Poaceae. The record is from RNAcentral.
AUGUUUAACACUCUGGAGACCGCAGCUCCUCGGCGAGCGGGGCCUGUAGCCUGUCCUGGCAUUAGUUGGCGACCUGGGCGCCCCUGGCAGUCCUACAUGACUAGGAAGUGUGUGGGGAGGCGGAAGGACAUGCGGUCGAGGCCAUCACCACAGCGCCAUCGCCGGCGACCACCCAAAGUGGUCCAAGAGAGGGACGACAGCGGCCGCCGGCGACCAUCCAGAGUGGUACAAGAGUGGGAUCCCGGCAAAAGAAAAGGGUACAAGAGUGGGACGACAGCGGCGGCGUCCUACAUCCCCGGUCAGCGCCCCCAGAAGGACUCGAGCCCCUAG